GAGUUAUUAUCUAUAAAAAAAUACAACAGGAAUAUAAAAAACUUGAGGAUAAAAAGAUGUUGGAAAAAGUAAUAUUAAAUCUUAAAAAACAUAUGGAAACUACACAAUGGUGGAGACACAUUGGUGAAGUACAAAAAUAUAAAUUGGAUCUAGAAGAAAGGGCAAUGCAGGCAAUAGAAAAAUUAGUAGAAAUCCCUUUAAAGGUUAGUUUGUAAAAUCAGGUAAGUUUAUUUAUAAUUUGCUUUCAUUUAUUUCACUGCAAAUUAUAUUUUGGAUAUGUAUAUAUAUUGUGCUUCCUCUGCCUGUCUUACAGCAAUUUGCCUUGCAGAGUUCUAGGAAAAAGGUGGCAUGUGUUUUUACUUUCAAAUAUUUAAAUUUCCAUCAUUCUAACAAAAUCAAUUUUUCAGAGUAAUGAUUCUCACUGUGGAGUCAUUUGAUUAUUAAGACCCGUUGGCAUAAGAUUACAUCCUCUGACUAUAAAAAUCCUGGAAGAAAACCUAGGAAAUAUUCGUCUGGACAUUGCACUUGGCAAUGAAUUUAUGGGCGCUUUGGAAUCCUGCAGAUAUAAUAAUGAUAAUUAAACAAAACACUCAGAGAAACUGCCAACCCUAGGAUGAAGUAUAUUGUUACUGUGCUUUGGGAUUAAAAUAAGUAACUACAGUUUAUAGAACUUUUAUACUGAUACACAGACACUAAAAAGGGAAAGGGUUUAGAUGAGAAGCUCUGCUAUGCAAUCAAGAAUCUCAGCCACUCAUUUCUGUAGGGGCUGCAGGAGCUCCCUGUAAAGAGAGGUUAUGGAGUCUGUAGCUUCAGGUAACCACUGAUCCACUUCCAGUCACUAUCCAUGAGUUUUUAUUUCCAAAUACAUGAAAUCAUAUGAAUUUCUGGUUUUUCCUGUUGGAGCCCAAGGAGCAAGGGCAGAAUGAAGAACAUGAUGUUUCCUACCGACAGUUACUCAUGACGUCUCCAUCCAGGACUGAGGGGGGCAUCCUUCUCCAUCUAGGACUGGGGGCAUCCUUCUCCAUCCAGUAUUGGGGGUCAUCCUCCUCCAUCCAGGACCUGAGGGGUGUCCUUUUCUGCGCUUCCUUGGAUGGCAGUCUUUCCCUUCAUGUUUAUAGUGACUUACCAUUAAAUCACUGUGCCGUUUUUUCCUAAAA
Long non-coding RNA from Homo sapiens (human), 1157 nucleotides. RefSeq annotates it as prostate enriched lncRNA. The transcript is spliced from 4 exons. NCBI's taxonomy places the organism in Eukaryota, Metazoa, Chordata, Mammalia, Primates, Hominidae. The record is from RefSeq and is marked validated.